RNAcentral lists this ribosomal RNA (242 nucleotides) under uncultured bacterium. Its description in RNAcentral is "partial 16S ribosomal RNA". It matches the Rfam family "Bacterial small subunit ribosomal RNA", at positions 15 to 240 of the family's 1533-position model. The record is from RNAcentral.
GAUCAUGGCUCAGGAUGAACGCUAGCUACAGGCUUAACACAUGCAAGUCGAGGGGAAACGACAUCGAAAGCUUGCUUUUGAUGGGCGUCGGCCGGCGCACGGGUGAGUAACGCGUAUCCAACCUGCCCAUCACUUGGGAAUAACCUUGCGAAAGUAAGACUAAUGCCCAAUGAUAUCCCACGAAGGCAUCCGAAUGGUAUAAUUAAAGUAUUUAGUCGGUGAGUGGAGGUGGGAUCGUCGUU